This 114-nucleotide ribosomal RNA is filed under the name Pseudotrachelocerca trepida. RNAcentral describes it as "5.8S ribosomal RNA". It matches the Rfam family "5.8S ribosomal RNA", at positions 1 to 113 of the family's 154-position model. From Rfam's summary of the family: 5.8S ribosomal RNA (5.8S rRNA) is a component of the large subunit of the eukaryotic ribosome. It is transcribed by RNA polymerase I as part of the 45S precursor that also contains 18S and 28S rRNA. Lineage: Eukaryota; Ciliophora; Litostomatea; Haptorida; Pseudotrachelocercidae. The record is from RNAcentral.
AAAUUUCCAGCGAGGGAUAUCUUGGCUCCCAUGACGAUGAAGAACGCAGCGAACUGCGAUAAGCAAUGCGAAUUGCAGAACUCCGCGAGUCAUCAGAUCUUCGAACGCAAACUG